This is a long non-coding RNA of Dermacentor andersoni, 6758 nucleotides long. RefSeq lists it as uncharacterized. NCBI's taxonomy places the organism in Eukaryota, Metazoa, Arthropoda, Arachnida, Ixodida, Ixodidae. The record is from RefSeq and is a predicted model, not a curated record.
GGCUAUUCACAAGCAUAUGCAGCGGGCACUUCUGCACAUCUAGUCUCCGGCCGUGUUACGUCUGCAUUUUUCUCGCCGGUGGCUUUCAGCUGGGAUAUGGACAUUCGUUCAACUCCCUGCACUUCUGACAAGUACCAUGUAUAUACACUCCUAUGGCACUACGGAUGUUUUCUCGUGUGACGUAUAAGCCCUGUGGUAUUUAAGGUGCCGAACGUCUGCUUUUGAAUGAAGCCGUGUUUUCCUCUGACGGCUAUGGUUCGUGUUCUCUCAGUGCUCCUUUUCUUAAUCCUGUUGCUACACCUUGCCGGUUCCGCAAGUACAAACUUCGUGGGCUUCCGAUGAAAUUUGCUGCAAUUGUAUUUACUAUGCAGACUUUCGAGGUUAGGUUUAUGCUUCGGAAAACUUCGCCACAAAGUUUCCAAAAGGCUUUUGUAAGUCUCUCUCUGAGUAAGACGACGUUAAAUUCCUUCCGUUCCUGGUUAUAUUUCUUACCUCAUUUAAUUUCCUUACCCGUAAUUUAUUUCGCCUAGACGGAGUGCCACAUUUUUCCCAAUGCUGUUGUAACUCUACGUAGUCUUUUGUCGAAGGUUGCCGCCCUAUUCUUCAAUGUUUCCUCGCAGUUGUCUGGUUCCGCCCGUCGGGUCCGCAGAAGUUACAGGAACAGGUUCUCCAGGUCCAUCGUGAACUUGUGUGAACGAUUGUUUCUUAAUGAUAGCACCUACUUCGUAUGCUCGGGUAUAUAGUUCUCCAUUAUGCAGUACACAUCCACCGAUCGCUUUCCGCAGCAGACUUGAAAACUACGAAUGAGCCAUUCACAGAAACCGCCCCCACACGGUGUUUUGUGGAGGAAAUUUCCACUUGGUGAUAGGUCAUAAAUUGUUCAGUUGUUUAUCGACUUAAUGUUACUGUUACCGCAUUCAAUCCCUUAUUAGUUCUCCUGAAAGGCUUGCGUUGUUGCUGAGCACAUUUAUGUUCGUCCUGAGAAACGCCGAAAAUAGUGUAGAAAACUGAUGUGAAGCGUCUCCAACAGUUUCGCAGUCUACACCUCUUGUCACGGCACAUGUGAAAGUUGCUACACAAUGUUUGGCUAUGUCUCCUUGUUUUUUCUUUUUUGUAGUUGCUCCCAGCGCACCGUUGGAACGUAGACCAGCUAUUUCAAACAAUGGUCUUCGUUACUCUAUCCUCAAGUGGAGGUACUUCCUCUUACAAGGGUCUGAAAUUGUAUCUUCUCCACACAACGCACUGUCGUAUUACUUCUUUCACUUAUUUUGGUCCUCCGAUUACCCGAAAUCUCGUUAUUAUACGCGCCAGUGUACCGCGUACUGCACCGUGAAGUUUGCCCUAUAGGCGUCGCACUAAUCGUCCAGAUUUAUUCCAUUUACAUGUGAUCGGGUGCUGCUCCUCUUGUGAUACGGGCCCUACCGAAGGCACCCUUGAAGUCUCAUUGGGUCUUUAUCGUAAGGUAUCUGGUAUUCACCUAUUGUCUGCACAUUCGCUUGCUUGCUGAAUUUCUGCAAUUUGCAAUACACACUUUGUUCAAGCCAAAUGAGGCAUGUUUCGGCGGUAUUUCUUCUGCUUUUAGUGGACCGUUGAACUUGUCCUCUAAUAUUCACGGAACGAAACAUUCACGCAGUUGCUCUCCAAAUAUUCAAGUAACUGCCGAACCUGUCAACUUCAAUGCCUCGUCUUGAGAUCCCUUUCGACGUAUAUGACACUAGAAUCAUCUCCUUUCAUUAUUAACCGGCAUUUUGUAACGGCUAUUUGGUCUGUAGCAACUGGGAUCCCUUCCACAAAGUUGUUCACUACAUCUUUUCUACAGUGACUCCUGGUUACAUCUCAAUUUUUCAGUAUUGACGUAUCCCCAUUGUUCUCCUACUGAGUAAUACUUUUUUUUGUAGUCUGUGUUCAACGGUUGCUUCAUACAUUUUCUUUCUCCAAUGCAACACGAUUGUACAAGUGGUCCGAUACUUUACGCUUCCUCGCAAGUUCUAAUUUGCGAGACUGACGACGGUUUUCAUUAGAGUAUACUCUGUUAUUUGCCAGGACCAGCACUGUCUCCGCUCUAACAGUACCAUGAAUGCUGCACUUGAAUACACCGCCGGGCUUGCAUCCGAGAAAAGUGUCGGUGCUUACGUUCCGUUUCUUGUUGUCGAUGUGCUUUGAGGCAUUUAGUCCUUUAUCGUCCUCAGUAUAUUUCUCCAUAGAUCAUGUACCUUCGUCUGGGAGAGGGUUGACCCAAGAUUGCGUUUUUUUCCCGUCAUUCAAUACCGAUAGUAGCUGUUGCAGUGCAGGACGUUAGAAACUCCAGCCGACCAAAAAUUUUGCCCUGGCUUGAAAUACUCAUCGCUUCGUGAGCAUUUCACUCGAGUCUUCAUAUCGAUGGGAAAGCAGAAUCCCGUCGGCCGUAUCCCAGUUCAUUCCUAGAAUACUGGUCUAGCUUGAUCACGUAAGAAUAGCACCUUGAUGCAAAUUUCAAUUCUCAUUUCUUCACUGUUCGAUGUCCAUUUCCUAGGAUUCAUUGCAGCUCGGAGAAUUUUUUUUUUUGCUUCUACGUACACGCCUUUUGGCUGGUUUUCUUAUGAUGUUCCAAGCAUAUCAUCAACGCAAACUUAAUUACGUUUGCUGUCAUUGCAAGAAUUUCUUAGAAAAUUCAUUAACAGUGUUGGUACAUCUGCAUUCAAAUUUCCUCCUGUCUGAAGAUAAUCAUUCAGAACAUAACUGAUCUUAAUCACGAGGCGUCAAAUACUACGCUUAAUUUUCUUGCUAGUCGGUCUUGAAUUGCUUGAUGGCGCGAUAUGGUAGUUAUUGUUCAGGUUCUUCCGAACUCUCUCGUUCUGCUUUCCAGGUGUGAAACAUCUCGCAUUGAACAGUUCUAUUUUUAUCUCACUGCUGCAUUAGUCUGGUGUCUUCGAGAUAGUCUUCCGAUUGCUACUUCGUUGAUUUCCAUGUUAACUUGAUUUCUUCAUCCUUCUGAACAGUCCUUGUAACUGCAUAGUCCACCUUAUGCAUCGUUUCAUUCUGAGGCGCUAAGUCAGUAUAUUCCACCUUCAAAAAGUUCAAAAUGGCAGUCGUCAGUUCCUGCGGCGUCAAGAACCAUGGCGAGUUUCGCUUUUCGCAGUUCUCUUCUGCACCACAUGGGUCAGGCACAAUCCAGUCGGGUAUUUUCUAUUUUCCAUUGUAUCUUCGUUUCGUCUUUUCACUGGGCUUUCCUCCUCGUCUGCACUACUACUGCUUCUGCACUCCUGUUUUAAUUGUGGUCCACAAGCGUACCCAACGCGCUCUUGCACGACUCUACGGUCUGCGCUCCAAAAGAUUACUUCGGGCACGAGCAUCACCUGUUCCAGGAGCGAGUGCUAUUGCUUCUACAUUCCCUCGCCAGUGGCGUCCUGCUGGUAGACUGUGCUUGUCUCCUUGACCUGCACUACUGGUUCUUCAAUUGCGGUCCACAAGCGUACACAGCGCGCUCUUGCACGUCUCUACGGUCUGCGGUCCAAAAGACUACUUCGGGCACGAUAUCACCUGUUCCAGGAGCGAGUGCUAUUGCUUCUGCAUUCCCUCGCCAGUGGCGUCCUGCUGGUAGACUGUGCUUGUCUCCUUGACCUGCACUACUACUGGUUCUGCACUAAUGUUUUCGACCGCGGUGGGUAUACCUAACGCGCUCCUGCACAUCGACUCUCCGUUCUGCGCUCCAAAGGAGAUUACUUCAGGCACCAGCAUCACCCGUUCCAUGAGCGACUGCUAUUGCUUCUACGUUCACUCGCCGACAGCGUCCUGCUGGCAGACUGGACUUAGCCUGGCGCCCUUGCACUUCUGGUUCCCAGUGUUUGCUGUCGCUUGUGGCGCAAGAGAAACGUUCCAGCACUCUCAUUUACAAGAACAUUCCUGGCCUCGCCUCACGAGCAACUAUCUUCAGCCCGGUCGUCCUGCCGCGUGCUCUACACAAGCUUCCUCACACUAGUGAACGCGUCGCACGCCUGUCUUGGCGGUGUCCUGAACUGUGUUGACGGCGUGUUCAUGCUCUGAAGGACUGCGUGUGGUCACCGUCCCGAGACCGUCCAUCGGAUGUGCUCCUACAGUUCGCUGUUGCCUUUUUCCGCAGGCAUGUUUAAGUUUUGUGUAGCAAGCUUUUCUGUUUUGGAAGAGUGGCACGUUGCUCCGCGAAUGGAUAGCGCUUCUAGAAAUCUGCUUAUAAUACGAACCAGAGCAGUAAAGGUCGGGUUAAGUGGACACCACUCAGUACUUAAGGACUGUCGAUGUUUUCAUGAGCCGAUCUGUAAAUUUUUGGUGGCGAGAGUAAUGGACAUUCAUUCAUUGCGCUCUUUCGUAGUGUGUGUGUGUGUGUGUGUGUGUGUGUGUGUGUGUGUGUGUGUGUGUGUGUGUGUGUGUGUGUGUGUGUGUGUGUGUGUGUGUGUGUGUGUCCUACUCUGUGCUCUUUUUUUUUUUCGAUCGAGAACGUAUGACAUAAGCUCCGCUGCUACCUGGCGCACUUCGAAUAUUUUGUUUUGGUAGCAUUUCCAACGUGCUGAUAGGUUUGAUCGUUUACUAUCGUCUAUGUGCAUGCGCUUUUCGACUGUUCUAACCGCUGGCUUCUUUGGCUUUGGUCCAUGGGUUGACCUCUGUGCUCGUUUCAGCAUUCAGCGGAUUUGUUCAGGCGCCUUUCUCGGGCCAGAAACGGUUUCACACAUUUUCGGUUCUUCCACGUCGCUCAUCACUGACUCGAAAAGAUUAACAUGCCACUACAAAAGGACACAAUGUCAAUGAAUGGGAAAGGGGAGGGUGGUUAUUCUCGCCAACAAAGACUUCCUGAUUUGCUCAUGAUGAUAAUGACGUCCAUCUUUAAGACUGGUUGGUGGUAAUGGUUACCGGGUACGCUGUUUCUAGUUUUUUGGUGUCCUUGACUCAUCAGAUGCUUUGAUGGAUCUACAAGAUUCAACUUGUGUAUUACCUGUCGUUUGCUUAUCGGACAGUGCUACCCGCUGUCGUCGCUUGUUCACCGCUUACACCGCGCCGUAGUUUGAUAUUUGUGUCCACAACUAUCGCGUACUCUGCAAGAUAGAUAAUACUUAAGCGCCAUGGCGCCCUUCACGCGGCUUUUACGUCGUUGCCUGCUGGCUGUAGUUCAGAUUACGCACACUUGUGUAAUUUCGUGAUUAAAGUUCACCGCGUGAGCCAUUGUCAAACAGCUGCUUCGAAGGGGCUACAUGUACUCCCAUUAUGCCAAGUCGUGUGUAAACGUCUUGACAAGUGACGUACACGAGCACGCUCAAAGAAAUCUUGAUUAGAAAAUGUGUCCGCUUUACUGGUAUUUAUGGUGUUGAAGCGAAUUCAGUUUACCAGAGCUUCCCCCGUACUUUUUUUUUCUUGCUGUACGCUGUGUCUUUCCAUUGCUCUUCGCAUGCAUCUGAAUGCGUUUGCGUUGAGUAGUGGCUGAAUUUGCACAUGCUACCACUUCUGUCCUAAUCUCGAUAUAAGGACGCACACUUGAUUUAUUACGAAUUACUUCCAUUGUCCUCAACCUGUAAUAACCUUACCUCUGCGUUGCUCGAUAACCAAAUAAAAAAUAAGCACCGUCCUUGGUAGAUGGUUACGUAUGCCGCAUUGCUCUGCCUUUUUUUUUUCGCUGCUUUCAUACGCUGUGAUGAAAGUCGAGCAACCACGCAUGCGCGGUUGUGCUCGGUCGAAUGCAUUUUUCUUAACCUCUAACAUACACGCAGCGCAAUGGAGCCUUACUGUAGAAAGUAUUUUUAUUUUCCAUCUUCAGUUAUACGACAGUCCUGCAGUUGCGCCACACAAUACUCGCAAUCAGUUCACGAUACGACCAGUGUGGUGAUUUGGACUUCUUGAUAUGCAUCCGCCGUGGUUGCUUCGUGGCUAUGGUGUACGGCUACUAAGCACGAGGUUGCGCUAUCGAAUCCCGGCCACGGCGGCCGCAUUUUUAUCGGGGCGAAGUGCGAAAACACCCGUUUACUUAAUUUAGGUACACGUUAAAGCACCCCAGGUGGCCCAAAUUACCAGAGUUUCCCACAGCGGCGUGCUUCAUCAGAAUGUGGUUUUCGCACGUAAAACCUCAAUUUUUGUUCGUAGGUGUCAUUGGAGGCUCUUUUUUUUUUUUUGUCUAACGCAACUAGUACGUGGACACAGAAAAAAAAAAACCCACACGGCACUCAAUAGUUCGCAAUACGACAGCGAUGCACGAAAUAACUGCACAUUGAGGUCAUGAUAUUGGAGGAUGUGACGUGGUCUAAAAAUGUUUUAGUCCCUUCUGUGCGUUUCGCAUCCAACUGGGGAAGUUCGAACACUUGCGCGCUUUCUCGUUUACUGAAAACAAAUGCCGGAAUCGUUUUUUUCCAUCUCCCAGCGAAGGUGCUCUGCUGCACUUACCCAUUUCAGAUAAGUUUUACAGUUUAAAGGUAUUUGAACUUUAUUUUAUGCAAGGAAGUCUGUUACUGCGCCUUGACUUAUACUGUUAUUUACGGUUUCCUGAUGUAAGAAAACUGUUCUGUUUUACAUUAUUAUACGUCGAAGUAUCGUGAAGAUAAAUUAUCUGUGCUAUGUAAAUUUCGGCAUGUAUUUAACAUGUAUUUCUGUACAAAUGCAUAAAUGUAUGUUAAUGCACUGUAUAUAUGUUGCUGUUUGCAGUAUCUGGGAUUAAGUCCAGUCAAGUAGCAUUUAAUCGCUUUUAAUUCCGUUUACUUAACAGUCAUGUUUCGCGCUGGUUGUAUUGAGUAUGCAUUGCAUUAAACUGCACGUUGUCCAAA